RNAcentral lists this transfer RNA (90 nucleotides) under Metarhizium rileyi. Its description in RNAcentral is "tRNA-Tyr". It matches the Rfam family "tRNA". Rfam says of the family: Transfer RNA (tRNA) molecules are approximately 80 nucleotides in length. The record is from RNAcentral. Lineage: Eukaryota; Fungi; Ascomycota; Sordariomycetes; Hypocreales; Clavicipitaceae.
CUCCGGGUAGUCUAGUUGGUUUAUGGCGUCUGACUGUAACUUGAAAUCAGUAUUAUCAGAAUGUCGCGUGUUCGAAUCACGCCCUGGAGA